UACGUAGGUGGCAAGCGUUGUCCGGAUUUAUUGGGUUUAAAGGGUGCGUAGGCGGUCCUAUAAGUCAGUUGUGAAAUACGGCGGCUUAACUGUCGGGGUGCAAUUGAUACUGCAUGACUUGAGUACAGACGAGGUAGGCGGAAUUGACGGUGUAGCGGUGAAAUGCGUAGAUAUCGGCAAGAACACCGAUAGCGAAGGCAGCUUACUAGACUGUAACUGACGCUGAUGCACGAAAGUGUGGGGAUCAAACAGG
RNAcentral lists this ribosomal RNA (253 nucleotides) under uncultured bacterium. RNAcentral's name for it is "partial 16S ribosomal RNA". It matches the Rfam family "Bacterial small subunit ribosomal RNA", at positions 524 to 776 of the family's 1533-position model. The record is from RNAcentral.